Molecule: ribosomal RNA, 437 nt
Filed under: uncultured bacterium
Lineage: Bacteria
Description: bacterial SSU rRNA
Rfam family: Bacterial small subunit ribosomal RNA
Source: RNAcentral
UCCUACGGGGGGCAGCAGUAAGGAAUAUUCCACAAUGGGCGAAAGCCUGAUGGAGCGACGCCGCGUGAGGGAAGAAGGCCUUUGGGUCGUAAACCUCUUUUGUGGGGGAUGAUAAUGACAGUACCCCACGAAUAAGCCUCGGCUAACUACGUGCCAGCAGCCGCGGUAAUACGUAGGAGGCGAGCGUUGUCCGGAUUUACUGGGCGUAAAGCGCGCGCAGGCGGCACGCCAAGUACGUCGUGAAAUCUCCCUGCCUAACGGGGAGGGUGCGAUGUAAACUGGCGAGCUAGAGGACGGUAGAGGGGGGUAGAAUUGCUGGUGUAGCGGUGAAAUGCGUAGAGAUCAGCAGGAAUACCCGUGGCGAAGGCGGCCCCCUGGGCCGAACCUGACGCUGAGGCGCGAAGGCUAGGGGAGCGAACGGGAUUAGAUACCCCGGU